Molecule: ribosomal RNA, 483 nt
Filed under: uncultured bacterium
Lineage: Bacteria
Description: partial 16S ribosomal RNA
Rfam family: Bacterial small subunit ribosomal RNA
Source: RNAcentral
AUUGAACGCUGGCGGCAGGCCUAACACAUGCAAGUCGAGCGGAUGAAGGGAGCUUGCUCCUGGAUUCAGCGGCGGACGGGUGAGUAAUGCCUAGGAAUCUGCCUGGUAGUGGGGGAUAACGUCCGGAAACGGGCGCUAAUACCGCAUACGUCCUGAGGGAGAAAGUGGGGGAUCUUCGGACCUCACGCUAUCAGAUGAGCCUAGGUCGGAUUAGCUAGUUGGUGGGGUAAAGGCCUACCAAGGCGACGAUCCGUAACUGGUCUGAGAUGAUGAUCAGUCACACUGGAACUGAGACACGGUCCAGACUCCUACGGGAGGCAGCAGUGGGGAAUAUUGGACGAUGGGCGAAAGCCUGAUCCAGCCAUGCCGCGUGUGUGAAGAAGGUCUUCGGAUGGUAAAGCACUUUAAGUUGGGAGGAAGGGCAGUAAGUUAAUACCUUGCUGUUUUGACGUUACCAACAGAAUAAGCACCGGCUAACUUCGU